This is a long non-coding RNA of Orcinus orca (killer whale), 9250 nucleotides long. RefSeq lists it as uncharacterized. The record is from RefSeq and is a predicted model, not a curated record. The transcript is spliced from 4 exons. Lineage: Eukaryota; Metazoa; Chordata; Mammalia; Artiodactyla; Delphinidae.
UAUACGUGAUAGGGUGAAGAGAGAAGAAAGCUCAGAUAGGAAAUUAUUGCUAGAGUGAACCAUCCAGCUCAAAAGUGCUGGACUGGCAAAGAGCCAGAAGUAAAGCACGUUGUAGGAAAUUGUGCUCUGGCGACACACAAGGAAACCUGAAACUUAAGCCAUUUCAAGUGAGGUGACAGACCUUCCAAGAGAAUAACAGCAUCACACAACAGCCACUGAUUUAAUGAUGGAGCAAUGCUUCUUGCCAAUCAUCGUAUACAUAUUCAGUGACCUUGCAUGAAGAAACAUCCUGUCUGCAGAAAAGGAGACUGCACCUCAUCUACACAAGGCAGGGCUGAUAAGAGUCCUGGAAGAUGGGUUUCAGAGCAACAUUAUGCUGAGUGAAAUUACGCAUGUCCAAAAUGCAGUCACUUCCCUUUAUCUCUUAUAAACUCCAGAUCAACAAUGUCAGCCUCUGACUCCAGACCUACAGAUGGAGAAUGAUUCAUUCCCGUAUGGGUUUUCCACACGCAAAUGCAAUUAAGGAAUUUGAAAUUGUUUAAAAUAAUUAACAAUAAGCUCUCCUACUUUUCUCCCUUCCUUAGAUUAUUUUUCCUUAUGAACCAUCCCUGGUAACUCUUUUUUUUUUUUUUUGGUGAUACGCGGGCCUCUCACUGUUGUGGCCUCUCCCGUUGCGGAGCACAGGCUCCAGACGUGCAGACUCAGCGGCCCUGGCUCACGGGCCCAGCCGCUCCGUGGCAUGUAGGAUCCUCCUGGACCGGGGCACGAACCCAUGUCCCCCACAUCGGCACGCGGACUCUCAACCACUGCGCCACCAGGGAAGCCCCUGGGAACUCAUUUUUAAGAGCUUGAUCUUCCUUGACAUUAACGAGACUAAUGUUACCUUAUAAGCAGCCCCUUUAUGCCUAUUUGCUCAAUCAAAACCAAAUUUAAUCACUACAUUGCAUGCUGUGACUUAGACAAUGCUCUCAAAUUAGACCCUUUGCCAACUUGUGUCUCCUAGUAACUUUCUUGAUCUAAAUAGAAUCUUGACAUUAGAAUAGAUUUUCACAUCUGUUGACUAGUGAGUAGAAAAUAAUGGUCAGAUUUUAGGCAUACUUCUGUGAUUUAAAACUGGCCUAAACCUGUACCCUAACCCUAAUCCGUGCCCUAAACCAUACCCUAACCCUAAGCCAUACCGUAACCCUAACCUGUACCCUAACCCACACCCUAACCCCAACCCGUUGCCAUACCCUAACCCUUACCCUAACGCUAACCCUAACCUGAACCCUAAUCCUAACCUCUACCCUAACCCUAACCCCUACCCUAACCCAUACCCUAAACCCUAAUCCUUACCAAUAACUUAAUUUUAAAAAAAAAUAUUUUUCUGCGGUUAAAACAAAUUAGCAGAACAAAAUAAAACAGAAAGUAACCUGAGUGUCCCUCAAAAAAAAAAAACUGACCUAAUUUUAUAUAUAUUUUACAUCAAGAGAGGUUAGGUAUCUUUCAUUAUUAUCAAAGGGUUUCUGCCCCUUGCACUCCCUCCUUCCUUUACAAAAUGGCAUUUUGAACGAUUACACUAAGAAAGGAGGAAACAUUUUGAGCAGAGGCAGACUUGUGGCUCGCUGUCCAGGGAUUUACUGACUGGGAUGUACAGUGGCUUUUUGUUCACUGGAAGGCGUAACAGCUUGCUAAUAUCUUGUUGAGGGUGGUGGAGUGGCAUGUGAUAAAGUUCAGUUUGUUUCAUGCGGGUGUCAGUGGCCACAGGGAUCUGAUUUGAAGGGGCAGAGCAGGUAGCACUAGCUCUGGAUGUUCUGGGGCCUAAAAUUGUAGAGCAAGAGGUGUGUUUAUGAUGUGGUGAGGCAUACCAUGGGCCAGCUUGCUGGGGUUCAGCGCUGAGCUCCAAUCUCACAGAGGUUCAGGAGGGAGGCACAACCAGGCACAAAGGACCAGCUAUGAACCCUGGUCAGUCUUAGUGAAGCUAGAAAGGAAUAGUGGCUCUUGGUGCUCAUGUGGCAUCUGGGAUUCACUUUUCAUCAUGGGGAGCUCAGAGUAACAGACGAGCAUCAUUCUCCAGAGGAGGAGGAGGUAGGAAUGGAGCUGGGACUUGGGAAGGGUAAAAUUUUAAUUUCAGUUAUGAUGGAGUUCACAUUUGAAGUCUGGUCCUAUUGGGAGUGGCCUGAGAACUUAGAACCAGGGACUCAGAAGGGGGGGCCAAUGACGCAGGCUGACCACACACAGGAGAGAUAGUUAUUAAUACUUCCCACACCCCUAUGUUCAUAGCAGCACUAUUCACAAUAGCCAAGACAUGGAGAAAAGCUAAGUACCCAUUGACAGAUGAAUGGAUAAAGAUGUGGUAUGUACAUACAAUGGAAUACUACUCAGCCAUAAAAAAGAAUGAAAUAAUGUCAUUUGCAGCAACAUGGAUGGAACUAGAGAUUAUCAUACUAAGUGAAGUAAGUCAGAAAGAGAAAGACAAAUACCAUAUGGUAUCACUUAUAUGUGGAAUCUAAAAUAUGACACAAAUGAACUUAUCAACAAAACAGGAACAGACUCACAGAUAUAGAGAACAGACUUGUGGUCAUCAAGGGGGAGGGGGAGUUGGGGAGAGUUGGAGUGGGAGUUUGGGGUUAGCAAAUGCAAACAUUAUAUAUAGAAUGGAUAGGGCUUCCCUCGUGGCACAGUGGUUAAGAAUCUGCCUGCCAAUGCAAGGGACACGGGUUUGAGUCCUGAUCUGGGAAGAUCCCAUGUGCCACAGAGCAACUAAGCCCAUGCACCACAACUGCUGAGCCUGUGCUCUAGAGCCCAUGAGCCACAACAGCUGAAGCCACAACAACUGAAGCCACAACAAGUGAAGUGCCUAGAGCCCGUGCUUCACAGCAAGAGAAGCCACUGCAAUAAGAAGUCUGCACACUGCAACGAAGACCCAGUACAGCAAAAAAUAAAUAAAUAAAAAUAAAUACAUUUAUAAAAAAAUAAUAAUUACCCUCAUUUAUGUUAAGCACUUCAAAUAGUAAAUACAUUAAAUCCCUAUCACCCCACAAAAUACGAGCUAUUAAAAAAAAAAAGAAUAGAUAAACAACAAGGUCCUACUGUAUAGCACAGGGACCUAUAUUCAAUAUCCUGUGAUAAACCAUAAUGGAAAAUAAUAUUUAAAAAGAAUAUAUACAUAUAACUGAAUCACUUUGCUGUACAGCAGAAAUUAACACAACAUUGUAGGGACUCCCCUGGUGGCGCAGUGGUUGAGAGUCCACCUGCCAAUGCAGGGGACACAGGUUCAAUCUCUGGUCCGGGAAGAUCCCACAUGCCGCGGAGCAACUAAGCCCUUGUGUCACAACUACUGAGUCUGUGCUCUAGAGCCCGCAAGCCACAACUACUGAAGCCCAUGUGCCUAGAGCCCGUGCUCCGCAACAAGAGAAGCCACCACGGUGAGAAGCCCGUGCGCCGCAACGAAGAGUAGCCCCCGCUCGCCACAACUAGAGAAAGCCUGCGCGCAGCAACGAAGACCCAACGAGCCAAAAAUAAAUAAAAUUAAAUCUUAAAAAAAACCCAAAACCCCACAACAUUGUAAAUCAACUAUAUUACAAUUAAAAAAAAUUUUUCCUGAAGUACCAUUAACAUCUUUACAUAUAUCUCAUUGUCUAGAAUUUAGGCACAUGGUCACAACUGGCUGUAAGAAAGGUUGGGGAAUAUAGUCUUUUAUUCCAGGUGCCAGUGUGCUCAGAUAAAAACUGGGAUUCUGCUAAGGAAGAAGAGGGGAAUUGAUACAGGGAGGCAAUUACCACUUUCUACCACAUUCCUCACAUCCUCUGUAAGAGCACUGGCUUAAAAAAAAGAAAUCCUGACUGUGCCACUUGCCAACAGUAUGACCAAGAGCAAGUUAAUUAAUUCAUCUGAAUCUCAGUCCUAGCAUCUGUAAAAUCGGCAUAUCAGAACCUAGUCCACAGGUUUGUGAAGAUUAAAUAAAGUUAACGUAUGUAAACAGUACUAAAUACAUGUUGGUUUCCCUUGCCAUAAAGCUGGUUCUGCUUUUCCCUUGACCACUUUCCUGGUAGUAUUUUGACUUCUUGAUCAAGAUUACCCUGGGAGAUCAUAUUAACUAGAUCUUAUCCAUGAAGACAAGGAAGGGGACUCAUACAAUGCAAUUCUUCUCUUACCUCAAGGAAGGGAGUUGGUAGUAAUAAAACACAUUCAAUGAAUUAUUAGCAUUGAACCAUUCAUUGUAGGUUUCAUGAAAACUUUUGAAGAAAUUACUGAUUCAAGUCCAAACUGGUAUCCUCCUGAAGGAUGCCUUAAAAACAGUUAAGUGUGUCAUCUUGAAACAAAAUGAAGGCUAGAGUUUAUUAUUAAAAAUAGGUUUUAAAAAAAAAAAAUAGGUUUUUUUUUGGUGUCUGCCUGAAAUGAAGUCCAGUUAUGGAGCCUAAGCACUGAAAUAUUUGCUGCCUUUACAGUAAGACAUUUACGGCACCAUGUUUUUCUUGUCAUAUGAUUGUCACCUGUUAGACCUCAUUGUAAUCAUGGACUCAUACCUUUGGGUCCAGCUCUUGUUUCCUAAGGCAAUAUUAAACUUAGAUUAGAUAUGAACUCUCUGCUAAACUCAGUGGUUGAAAAAGUCCCUUCAGAAGUGCAGUAUCUGACUGUCCUCCUUUUGACCUUCUCUGUGCAUUUUCUUUCUUAUCUUGGUAACCAUAGAAAUAACUUGGAGAGGUGAAGUUGGCAGAGAUCCACGCCUUCACUGCAUGGAAGGUGACAGCUGCACUAGUGCUUUGCCAAUGACGAUUUGACAGAAAAGGUGAAGGGUUGGACCUUUAGCAGUAGCUAUUCUGGCUUUUGAAGGAGUGUGGGAGAAAGAGGGAGGGCGAAGGGCUUACUGUCCCUGAACUCUUAUCUCUCAGUUAAAUGCACCCCCAUAUCCCCUGAGACCCUUCAUUUUUCCCUCUACAGGUCACUGAUGCCCACACCUACUUGGUCCUUCUCUCCCACUUAGACUCAUUUGUCCUUAUCUCCUUCUACUGAUCUGUCAGACCCUGUGUCCUCUCUCAAGGUAUAGGGUGAAUGUGAACUUUGGAAUGACAAAGAUCUCUGAGCUAGUGCACCUGAUGCUCAAUUUCCUGCUCUGUGAAAUGGUAAUAAAACCUACUUCUCACAAUUAUUUUGAGGAUUAAAAAAAGAUGUAUUUAUGUAUACAUUUCUAGGCAUGCAGUAUGCAUCCUAUAAAUGUUGGUAUAUUUCCCUACAUAUUAAUCUUUCUCCUUUGACCAUUUCCAUGUUCUUUAUACCUCUAAAACUUUACUACUCGAAGUGUGGUUUGAGGACCAGCAACAUCUCAGACCCAGCCUGGACAGUAUGCAUUUUAACAACAUCUCCAGGCGCUUCAAAUGCAUGUUAAAGCUUGAGAAGCACUGCUGCAAGACAGAGACUCCUUCUCUCACCAUCCUUUUUCUAAAGGGGAAAGAAUAAUGAACAUCACUGAUUAUGUGCCUGCUCUGUGUCAGGUGCUGGUUUCUUUGCUGCCAUUUCCCUCCUCCUCACUCUGUGAGGUUGGCACUCUUUCCCUUUACCUGUGAAGAAAUGAAGAUGAAGGAGUUAACGCCCCAGCCCAAGAGCCAGUAGAAACUCAAACUCAAGUCUUUUUGCCUGAACACUUUACACUACUUCCAAACUACAUGGGUCUACUGGCUUUUACUGCUGCAGAAGGAGACAAAAGUGGGGGAAAAAAAAGAAAACGAAAACAGAACAAAACAAAAAGAGAGACAUGGAAGCACUAACCUUGAGUUUCUAUGAAAUCAAUAAAGAACCACUUUUUUUUUUUAGACUUAUAAGAAACAUUUUUAAUAUCAAUUUUAAGUUAGAGAGAUGCACAAUUUUUGUGUUUUUUAAAAAUUUAUCAGAACGGGAAAGAGAAAAAAUUUGAAAAUCACUGUUAUACAGCAAGCAUUAAUUUCCAAUAAAAUUUUACAUAUUUUCUUAGUAAUUCAUGUAAAAUUUUUAUCCUAAUUAUAAUGAAUCAAAAACAUUGCAUCUUAAAUCAUUCCAUAUACAAGAUGAACCGCCUUAUUGCCUUAUGGGUGAGUUGCUACUGCAUUGUCUCUUCAGAACUGGAAACCUGGGUUGAGCUGAAGCUACCUACAGCCAGGUUCCUUCUUUUCCCUGUCUGCAUAUCACAUAAAUGUAUGGAUAGAAAUGGCAAUGGUGAUUUUGUUAGUAUUGUUUGCUUUUCCUAAUUGCUCUCUGUGCUCAGGAGAUAACCACUGAGAAGAAAUGUCCAGAAUUCUGUCAUGGAUUUGGUACAGAUUUUUCCAACUAUAGUUGGAGAAAUUUUCCAUGAAUUCAUCUUGUAUACCUUAUGGUAGACUGAAAGGACCUCUCUUCCAUUGGCAGUGAGGUUUAAAUAAUUUAAUGUAUGUAACAGCACAUCUCAACUCCAAUCUACUUUCCUUACAACGUCUCCAUUUCUUGCCUGUUGUUCAAACUUUUGCUGCAUUUUGCUGUUCAGCCGAAAGCUUCUGUGACUUCAAAUCUGAUGACCUCUCUAUGUUGUCUUAUAAUAAAACCCUACAUUCAGACUUUAAGCUUCAACUUCUAUAUUAAUUGAAUACAGCUAUUGCUACAAUAAUGCUACAUAACAAAUCACUCAUAAACUUAGUGGCACAGGGGCUUCCCUGGUGGCGCAGUAGUUAAGAAUCCGCCUGCCAAUGCAGGGGACACGGGUUCGUGCCCUGUUUUGGGAAUAUCCUACAUGCCGCGGAGCAAGUAAGCCCCCGCGCCACAACUACUGAGUUUGCGCUCUAGGGCCCGUGUGCCACAACUACUGAAGCCCGCAUGCCUAGAGCCUGUGCUCUGCAACGAGAAGCCACCACAAUGAGAAGCCCGUGCACCGCAACGAAGAGUAGCCCCCGCUCAACGCAACUAGAGAAAGCCCACACACAGCAACAAAGACCCAAUGCAGCCAAAAAUAAUAAAUAAAUAAAUAAAUUUUAAAAAUAAAUAAAAAGCAAACGUUAUAAAAAAAAAAACCAGUGGCAUAAAGCAUUAACUCACUUGUCUGUGGGGUCCCUGGAUACUUCUGAUUCUGGUUAUAGGUGUGAAGAUCAACUAGGGCAACUGUACUUCAUAUAUCUUAUUCUGGACCCCAGUUUACAGGGGGUGAGGCUGCCUUGAAGCUACCAGGAAAAUACUAUCUAGAGCAUUUUGUUCUCAUGUUGGAGGCUGGAAGCUCAUAGGAAUUUUAGGAUUUAGAAACUUAUCUCUCAAGAAAAUGUGGCCUUCCUACCAUAUAUACAAUAUUUCUCUUAUUUAAAAAAAUUAUAUAUAUAAUUUUUAUUUUAUAUUGGAGUAUAGUUGAUUAACAAUGUUGUGUUAGUUUCAGGUGUAUAGCAAAGUGAUCCAGUUAUACAUAUAUAUGUAUCAAUUCUUUUUCAAAUUCUUUUCCCAUUAAGGUUAUUACAGAAUAUUGAACAGAGUUUCCUGUGCUAUACAGUAGGUCCUUGUUGGUUACCUAUUUUAAAUAUAGCAGUGUGGGGGACUUCCCUGGUGGUCCAGUGGUUAAGAAUCCACCUUCCAAUGCAGGGGACGUGGGUUCGAUCCCUGGUUGGGGAACUAAGAUCCCACAUGCCAUAGGGCAAAUAAGCCCGGGUGCCUGCACUCUGGAGCCUUCAGGCCACAACUAGAGAAGCCCGCACGCUGCAAGGAAGACACACGUAGCCAAAAUAAAUAAAUAAAAAUAAAUAAAUAUAGCAGUGUGUACAUGUCAAUCCCAAACUACCAAUCUAUCCCUCUCCCCCCAGCCCCUUCCCCUCUUGUAACCAUAAUCUCAUUCUCUAAGUCUGUGAGUCUGUUUCUGUUUUGUAUAUAAGAACCACUUUCUUGAUGCCUGAUUCCAGCUGUCCUCAAUUCUUUUCCAGGUUCCUUGACCUUUAUUUGAUAUUGACAUACAUUUUGGAAGUUAGUAAACGGUGAUAAAAUAUUCCACAAACAUGAAGUGAUUGUUUAGUUUUCAGCCUGUUCAGUGAAAUGAAGUAUCAGCUGAUUUGGCACCCAACCCAGCAUGUGACUGUGUUGCUUCCUUCAUGAGUUUUUUUCAGAGCAUGAUGAGGUGGUGAAUAACAGAGGCUCAGAAAUUGGACUCUACGGUUUUGAAUCUUGCCUUCACAACUUUUGUGUGAUGUUGAACAAAUUACUUAACCUCUCAGACUCUCCAUAAAAUGAGGAUAAUGAUAUCUACUUCACAGGGUUGUUGCAGGGACAGAAUGAAAAAAAUACAUGUAAAUCACUUAGAACGAUGCCUGACACAUAUUUAGUAAAUGCUAGCUACUAUUUCUAUUUUAACGAUAGAAUGAGGCACCACUGUAAACUAUCAUGGUAUGUAAUCCAUCCCACCAGUUAGUUAUGGAUAACUGUUACUUAUUCUUUUGUUAAAAAGUAUUGCAUAUGAUGUCUAUGACAUAUUUGCUUCUUAUAAUAAUGAAACUUCAGAAAAUUCACUGUGUGUUAUCAAAUGUGAUUGUCUCGAACAAUUACUGAGUAUGAUCUCAAUCAUCAGAGUGAAAAAACGUUACCGUGGAAUCACAUGGGACUCUGAGACUCUCUGAUACACAUGCACCCCUUACAACACCUACACAGUGACAUACACGCAAAAGGUACUGCUUGCCUCAAUGUUUGCAUGCAAGAACAAACAAGAAAUGUGUGUCUCUGAAAUAAAAUGUUAACUUUUCAUGCCAAUAUAGGUAUUUAUUGUUUGUGGGAACAUCAUUUAAUAGAUAGGUAUUAACACUUUUACAAUUGGUUACUUAGGAUACUGUAUUUUAACUCAGCAUCAGUCAGUUUUUCUGAAAUGUGAUAUAUUUUCUUCCUCCUUUAAUAUUUGUACUAAUAACAAUGGUACCUAACAUUCAUUGACCAAUUACUAUAUGCCUGUGCUUUCUUUGUAUUAACUUGGAACAGCCUGAUGAGCUGGAUACUCAUUAUUUCCAUUUUAUAGGUAAGGCACAGAAGUUUCAAUAGCUUGACUAAGUUAAUAGCUAGUGUGUGGUGGAGCCUAGAUUUGGACCAGUAAUCUCUAGCAUCAACUCAGUUUAACCAUUGUACCAUACUAUACACUAAGUUAUAUAUUAGUGUGUUAAAUGUAUAAUGUUCUACAAAAUGCCUGACAGGGGUUUGCAUUUGCCAUUGGUUGAUUUUAAAUCAAGUGAAAAUUAGAAGUGUGACUCUGAGACUAUGUUAAAGUGAACUUUAUAACAUUUAAAAAAUAAAUUUACUUAUUUUAUUUUUA